Long non-coding RNA from Cyprinus carpio (common carp), 950 nucleotides. Lineage: Eukaryota; Metazoa; Chordata; Actinopteri; Cypriniformes; Cyprinidae. The record is from Ensembl.
ACGCACAGUUUCCCAGCAUGCAGCAGGAGAUUUGGCUGAGGGCUCUUCUUCAUACCUGCGUGUGCAAUGAGAUCGGCCGCUGCGCAAACACUCCCGACUAGACCGUCCGAACAAGAGCUCAAAAAUGCCUUAUCCAACAGCGUCGCAGGACAGAACCACGUCUCCAACUCCAGCAGACCAGCAGCAGCACAGUGCAGAACAAAGACGUCCACAGACACUUUUAAUUGUAGUUCUUUGCAUCAUCAUGGCGAUAAUCAAGAAAAUGCAGAUAAAUGUGAUAUUGCCGAGGGCACUUGGAAUCUGAACAACCGGGUGAAGGCCUCGAGGAACCAUCAGGAGCUUCGCAUGGAGCUGUUACAGGCCCACAAAAAAGGGCCGCUGGCGUGCUGUAAGCCGGAGCUUCAGAUGGUUCUGGAGAAGAGGAAGAGAGAGCAGACCCAGAGAGAGGAGGGAGAGCAGAGCAGGAGUCCUCUGGAGCAGGUGCUGCUCGAACGCCAGCACAAACAUCAGGAGAUGAUGAAGGAGAAGGAGGAGGAGCAGAGGCUACGUGAGGAGGUGCAGCUCUUGGAGUUCGUCCGAGUGAGACAGAACCUGAGGAAGGUCCGCACAGCUCUACAGAAGAGCCUUCACUCCUGAAUCUGACCAGCGCUGAUCUGACUAAACACAAAUACAGGACACGGUGUUUCAUUAUAUUCAUUAUUUUUGUUAUUAAACUUUUUCACAGUCUGUUACAGUACACUACUUUUCAUUGUGUUCUGUAAUAAUUAAAUAAUGUUUAAAAAACACAUCUUAAAACACCAUUAGCAAUUACUGAUAGGCCCUAAUACUGUAAAACUAUACAAAAUCAGCUGAAAUCAUUCUGUCAUUUUCUUUAACUUUUUUGUUGAGAGUGGAGGCCAGUUUUAUUGUAAAACCCGAAAUGUGAUUAAAUAAAAAACACAAUUCUACCA